This 253-nucleotide ribosomal RNA is filed under the name uncultured bacterium. RNAcentral describes it as "partial 16S ribosomal RNA". It matches the Rfam family "Bacterial small subunit ribosomal RNA", at positions 524 to 776 of the family's 1533-position model. The record is from RNAcentral.
UACGUAGGUGGCAAGCGUUGUCCGGAUUUACUGGGCGUAAAGCGCGCGCAGGCGGAUUGGUCAGUCCGGGGUGGAAUCUCACGGCUCAACUGUGAGCGGUCCCCGGAUACUGCCAGUCUUGAGGUGUCUAGAGGAGAGCGGAAUUCCCGGUGUAGUGGUGGAAUGCGUAGAUAUCAGGAGGAACACCAGCGGCGAAGGCGGCGCUCUGGGCCGGAACUGACGCUGAGGCGCGAAAGCGCGGGGAGCGAACAGG